GAUAAGAUGGCCAAGAGUAUUCGAAAUGUUUUCUCUGUCUUCUUUAUCCUCCUCGUCAUUUUGCUUCUCGGGAUGACACCGCUGUUAUCUGCUCGUCCAGUUCGACAAGGUAAUGAUAUUUUUUGUAAAUAGAUACAUACAGUAAUAUUUUAAUUUAUUUUAAUCAAUCACAUAUUACAAAAAUUAAAUCUCUUUUUGUUUCACAAAAUAUUUUUUUUAAAAUAAUGUUGGCAAAUUAAAUCUCUUUAAUGGAAAAUCUUUUUCAAAUUAAGGAAAAUGAAGAUAGCUUUUUUAGGAGCCAAAUUAAAAUUAUAAAUUCAUUAAAAUAUUAUAAAACUUUGUAUAAAAUAAAUUGUAAUAGGUUUUUUGUGACAAUUUGGGCCAUUUGCUCGCUUUCAAUUGUAAUUAAUGAUGAAAUUGCAAAUAAAAAAAAUAUUUUCAUUCUUUAUUUAAUAAAGAUAAAAUAAAUUUUCUCAAAAUAAAAGAUAAAAUAAAAUUUAAAUAUCAAAUUAUAUUUAUAAUUUAGUUGGUAGCACAUUUAUAGAUUUAGAAAUAUGAUAUCUGAGGCAUGUGCAAUUAAAUUACUUAUUUAUUUUUAUGAAAUGAAUAAUUUCACUAUAUUAUCAAUCCAAAAAUUACUACAAUUACGAUUUUUAAUCCUUAAAUCAUAGAUAAAUAUAAAACAAAAUACGUAAUAUAUACUUAUAUAUAUAUAUUAAAUUUCUAUGCCAUGCUUGCGAUUUUUUAGUAUGUAACAAAAAUUAUGUUAUAAAAUUGUUAAUUACCACAUUUAUUUCAAAAAAUAAAAUUUUAUUUGUGCAACAUUAUUUACUUAGACUGCUGAAAUUUUUUCAAAUUUUUAUUUUUUCUAAGUUUUUUUUAGAGUCAAAUGAUGAUUUAAAAAUGAUGAAAAUAUUUUUUUUGUUGUAAUCUCAUCCUUAAUUUUCAGUUAGACAAUUAUUAUUAUAAAAGGUCGAAAUUAUGUGAAUCAACAAAAAGAUCAAAAUAAAGUGAAUCUUUGAUGUUCAGUUAUAUUAGACCCAUUUUUUUUACAAAAUAUGAACUUUUUUUUUUUUUUUUUUUUUGCAAUUUUGGUGACUUAAAUUUACUUCAAGUCAUCUUAGACAAUCCCUUUAUGUUAUUGUCACUUCAAAAAUGAAAUUAAUUAUGAUAAUAGUUGCACUGUUGCAGGGCCUAAUAAUUGUACGUCUGAGCCGACGUCUGCGUGUGCGAGUCGUCAAAGACCUGGAGGACCAGGGAGGCGCUGAUAAUCCAGUGCGUAUCCAACCGGAGGAUUAAAAGUCAAGACAGAAGCCCAAGAUAUUUUGCAAACGACUAGUAGUAUUAUAUACAUAACCAAAUUAUAGUUCUGUUUAUAUAUAUAUAUAUAUAUAUAUAUAUAUAUAUAU
RNAcentral lists this long non-coding RNA (1409 nucleotides) under Jatropha curcas. RNAcentral describes it as "long non-coding RNA (JCUR_LNC002411)". Lineage: Eukaryota; Viridiplantae; Streptophyta; Magnoliopsida; Malpighiales; Euphorbiaceae. The record is from RNAcentral.